GGUUAAGCGACUAAGCGUACACGGUGGAUGCCCUGGCAGUCAGAGGCGAUGAAGGACGUGCUAAUCUGCGAUAAGCGUCGGUAAGGUGAUAUGAACCGUUAUAACCGGCGAUUUCCGAAUGGGGAAACCCAGUGUGUUUCGACACACUAUCAUUAACUGAAUCCAUAGGUUAAUGAGGCGAACCGGGGGAACUGAAACAUCUAAGUACCCCGAGGAAAAGAAAUCAACCGAGAUUCCCCCAGUAGCGGCGAGCGAACGGGGAGCAGCCCAGAGCCUGAAUCAGUGUGUGUGUUAGUGGAAGCGUCUGGAAAGGCGUGCGAUACAGGGUGACAGCCCCGUACACAAAAAUGCACAUGCUGUGAGCUCGAUGAGUAGGGCGGGACACGUGGUAUCCUGUCUGAAUAUGGGGGGACCAUCCUCCAAGGCUAAAUACUCCUGACUGACCGAUAGUGAACCAGUACCGUGAGGGAAAGGCGAAAAGAACCCCGGCGAGGGGAGUGAAAAAGAACCUGAAACCGUGUACGUACAAGCAGUGGGAGCACGCUUAGGCGUGUGACUGCGUACCUUUUGUAUAAUGGGUCAGCGACUUAUAUUCUGUAGCAAGGUUAACCGAAUAGGGGAGCCGAAGGGAAACCGAGUCUUAACUGGGCGUUAAGUUGCAGGGUAUAGACCCGAAACCCGGUGAUCUAGCCAUGGGCAGGUUGAAGGUUGGGUAACACUAACUGGAGGACCGAACCGACUAAUGUUGAAAAAUUAGCGGAUGACUUGUGGCUGGGGGUGAAAGGCCAAUCAAACCGGGAGAUAGCUGGUUCUCCCCGAAAGCUAUUUAGGUAGCGCCUCGUGAAUUCAUCUCCGGGGGUAGAGCACUGUUUCGGCAAGGGGGUCAUCCCGACUUACCAACCCGAUGCAAACUGCGAAUACCGGAGAAUGUUAUCACGGGAGACACACGGCGGGUGCUAACGUCCGUCGUGAAGAGGGAAACAACCCAGACCGCCAGCUAAGGUCCCAAAGUCAUGGUUAAGUGGGAAACGAUGUGGGAAGGCCCAGACAGCCAGGAUGUUGGCUUAGAAGCAGCCAUCAUUUAAAGAAAGCGUAAUAGCUCACUGGUCGAGUCGGCCUGCGCGGAAGAUGUAACGGGGCUAAACCAUGCACCGAAGCUGCGGCAGCGACGCUGAUGCGUUGUUGGGUAGGGGAGCGUUCUGUAAGCCUGCGAAGGUGUGCUGUGAGGCAUGCUGGAGGUAUCAGAAGUGCGAAUGCUGACAUAAGUAACGAUAAAGCGGGUGAAAAGCCCGCUCGCCGGAAGACCAAGGGUUCCUGUCCAACGUUAAUCGGGGCAGGGUGAGUCGACCCCUAAGGCGAGGCCGAAAGGCGUAGUCGAUGGGAAACAGGUUAAUAUUCCUGUGCUUGGUGUUACUGCGAAGGGGGGACGGAGAAGGCUAUGUUGGCCGGGCGACGGUUGUCCCGGUUUAAGCGUGUAGGCUGGUUUUCCAGGCAAAUCCGGAAAAUCAAGGCUGAGGCGUGAUGACGAGGCACUACGGUGCUGAAGCAACAAAUGCCCUGCUUCCAGGAAAAGCCUCUAAGCAUCAGGUAACAUCAAAUCGUACCCCAAACCGACACAGGUGGUCAGGUAGAGAAUACCAAGGCGCUUGAGAGAACUCGGGUGAAGGAACUAGGCAAAAUGGUGCCGUAACUUCGGGAGAAGGCACGCUGAUAUGUAGGUGAAGUCCCUCGCGGAUGGAGCUGAAAUCAGUCGAAGAUACCAGCUGGCUGCAACUGUUUAUUAA
RNAcentral lists this ribosomal RNA (1784 nucleotides) under Escherichia coli. RNAcentral's name for it is "partial 23S ribosomal RNA". It matches the Rfam family "Bacterial large subunit ribosomal RNA", at positions 1 to 1810 of the family's 2925-position model. The record is from RNAcentral. Lineage: Bacteria; Pseudomonadati; Pseudomonadota; Gammaproteobacteria; Enterobacterales; Enterobacteriaceae.